Molecule: transfer RNA, 75 nt
Filed under: Dichrocephala benthamii
Lineage: Eukaryota; Viridiplantae; Streptophyta; Magnoliopsida; Asterales; Asteraceae
Description: tRNA-Gln
Rfam family: tRNA
About the family: Transfer RNA (tRNA) molecules are approximately 80 nucleotides in length. Their secondary structure includes four short double-helical elements and three loops (D, anti-codon, and T loops).
Source: RNAcentral
CGAGGUGUAGCGCAGUCUGGUCAGCGCAUCUGUUUUUGGUAUAGAGGGCCAUAGGUUCAAAUCCUUUCACCUUGA